This 1186-nucleotide long non-coding RNA is filed under the name Numida meleagris (helmeted guineafowl). Its description in RNAcentral is "lncRNA (ENSNMEG00000006398.1)". The record is from RNAcentral. Lineage: Eukaryota; Metazoa; Chordata; Aves; Galliformes; Numididae.
UAGGGGCACACGGGGACCCCCCCCCAUGGGGAUAGGGACCUCCGUGCUAUGGGGACCCCGCAGUGCAAUGGGGACGUGGGGACACAAUGGGAUCCCAAUAUGUGAUGGGGAUGCUAUGGGACCCCAUAGAGCAAUGGGGACACAGCGGGAACCAAUGGGACCCUAUAGAAUAAUGGGGACACAAUGGGACCUUAUAGAGCAAUGGGGACACAACGGGACCCAACAGAACAAUAGGGACCCGACAGGACCCUAUAGAGCAAUGGGGACGCAAUGGGACCCCAUAGUGCAAUGGGGGCAUGGGGACACAAUGGGACCCCAAUACGUGAUGGGGAUGCUAUGGGACCCCAUAGAGCAAUGGGGACACAAUGGGAACCAAUGGGACCCCACAGAGCAAUGGGGACACAAUGGGACCCCAAUAUGUGAUGGGGAUGCUACAGGACCCCAUAGUGCAAUGGGGACAUGGGGACACAAUGGGGCCCCAACACAUGAUGGGGACGCUAUGGGACCCCAUAGUGCAAUGGGGACACAAUGGGACCCCGCUGUGCACUACAGGGACCUUAAUGCAAUGGGGACACGAGGGGACCCCAGAGCGCAGUGGGGGCAUGGUGACACGAUGGGACCCCAGGAUGUAAUGGAAACACUACGGGACCCCAAAGUGCAACGGGGCCACAAUGGGACGUGAUGGGAUGGCACAGCGCAAUGGGGACACGAGGACACAAUGGGGCCCCAACAUGUGAUGGGGAUGCUAUAGGACCCCAUAGUGCAAUGGGGACACAAUAGGAUCUCAUAGUGCAACAGGGACAUGGGGACACAGUGGGGCCCCAACACAUGAUGGGGACGCUAUGGGACCCCAUAGUGCAAUAGGGUCACGAUGGGAGCCAAUAGGACCCUACAGAGCAACGGGGACACAAUGGGACCCCCUGCGCACUACAGGGACCUUAAUGCAGUGGGGACACGAGGGGACCCCAGAGCGCAAUGGGGCCUCAAUGGGGACGCAACGGGACGCCAUGGGGCAGCGGGGACACGGGGACAGAAUGGGACCCCACAGCACAAUGGGGACACACUGGGACCCAUAGCGCAAUGGGGACUCAAUGGGACGGGCCCCUCCCAGACCCUCGUGCAGUGGGGCCACGCUGGGACCCAUAGCGCAGUGGGGCCACGCCAGCACCGCGCUGCACUCCGGGUC